Dermacentor albipictus is the source of this 353-nucleotide long non-coding RNA. RefSeq lists it as uncharacterized. Lineage: Eukaryota; Metazoa; Arthropoda; Arachnida; Ixodida; Ixodidae. The record is from RefSeq and is a predicted model, not a curated record.
CAUACAUCCAUCGAGUAGCAUCCUCGGGCAUCGUUUUCACAGAGACGAUGAUGCUGCGCCGAUCAUGUGCCGCUGGUUACGCCCACCCCACUGCGCUUUUAGACGCGCCGCCUCGCUUUUGAUGGUAAUUACAGGCAUGGCUUUGCGCUCUUUCCUCUUACUGCGCCUGGGGGUGCGCGGCCCGCAAUGUCCUACACUGACGAAGACUAAGUGUGAAAAACGACGACCACAUCUGUAACGGACGUUUCGCCAGCGGAGAUGUAGCGAUUAAAAUCAGCCUUUACCUUUGUCAACGACGCAGCAAGAAAGCACGUAUUUGGAGCGAUGGCACUAUUAAAGCUCCUUUGAUUUCA